CGGGUGAGGAACACGUGAGCAACCUGUCCCAAAGACUGGGAUAACAGUGGGAAACCGCUGCUAAUACCGGAUACCCUUUUUGAGUCGCAUGGCUCCCUAAGGAAAGCCUUUACGCUUUGGGAGGGGCUCGCGGCCUAUCAGCUUGUUGGUGAGGUAAUGGCUCACCAAGGCUUCGACGGGUAGCUGGUCUGAGAGGACGACCAGCCACACUGGGACUGAGAUACGGCCCAG
RNAcentral lists this ribosomal RNA (231 nucleotides) under uncultured bacterium. Its description in RNAcentral is "partial 16S ribosomal RNA". It matches the Rfam family "Bacterial small subunit ribosomal RNA", at positions 103 to 334 of the family's 1533-position model. The record is from RNAcentral.